This 429-nucleotide ribosomal RNA is filed under the name bacterium. RNAcentral's name for it is "partial 16S ribosomal RNA". It matches the Rfam family "Bacterial small subunit ribosomal RNA", at positions 355 to 776 of the family's 1533-position model. The record is from RNAcentral.
UAGGGAAUCUUCCACAAUGGACGCAAGUCUGAUGGAGCAACGCCGCGUGAGUGAAGAAGGUUUUCGGAUCGUAAAGCUCUGUUGUUGGUGAAGAGGGAUAGAGGUAGUAACUGGCCUUUAUUUGACGGUAAUCAACCAGAAAGUCACGGCUAACUACGUGCCAGCAGCCGCGGUAAUACGUAGGUGGCAAGCGUUGUCCGGAUUUAUUGGGCGUAAAGCGAGCGCAGGCGGAAGAAUAAGUCUGAUGUGAAAGCCCUCGGCUUAACCGAGGAACUGCAUCGGAAACUGUUUUUCUUGAGUGCAGAAGAGGAGAGUGGAAUUCCAUGUGUAGCGGUGGAAUGCGUAGAUAUAUGGAAGAACACCAGUGGCGAAGGCGACUCUCUGGUCUGCAACUGACGCUGAGGCUCGAAAGCAUGGGUAGCGAACAGG